Molecule: ribosomal RNA, 274 nt
Filed under: uncultured bacterium
Lineage: Bacteria
Description: partial 16S ribosomal RNA
Rfam family: Bacterial small subunit ribosomal RNA
Source: RNAcentral
ACACGAACCGCACGAACGUUAUUCGGAAUCACUGGGCUUAAAGGGUGCGUAGGCGGUCCGGUAAGUUGGGUGUGAAAGCCCUCGGCUCAACCGAGGAAUUGCGCCCAAAACUACCGGACUUGAGGAAGACAGAGGUGAGCGGAACUUGCGGUGGAGCGGUGAAAUGCGUUGAUAUCGCAAGGAACACCAGUGGCGAAAGCGGCUCACUGGGUCUUUUCUGACGCUGAGGCACGAAAGCUAGGGGAGCGAACGGGAUUAGAAACCCUAGUAGUCC